This 491-nucleotide ribosomal RNA is filed under the name uncultured bacterium. RNAcentral's name for it is "bacterial SSU rRNA". It matches the Rfam family "Bacterial small subunit ribosomal RNA", at positions 38 to 518 of the family's 1533-position model. The record is from RNAcentral.
GGCGGCGCGCUUAAGCAUGCAAGUCGAACGGCAAGAGGUAGCAAUACCUCCUAGAGUGGCGGACUGGUGAGUAACACGUGGGUGACAUACCCUUCAGAUGGGGAUAGCUAUUAGAAAUAGUAGAUAAUACCGAAUACGAGCACAGGGGUUAGAGAUCUGUGAGGAAAGGAGCUAAGGCUCCGCUGAAGGAAUGGCCUGCGGCCCAUUAGCUAGUUGGUGAGGUAAGAGCCCACCAAGGCGAUGAUGGGUAUCCGGCCUUAGAGGGUGAACGGACACAUUGGGACUGAGAUACGGCCCAGACUCCUACGGGAGGCAGCAGCUAAGAAUAUUCCGCAAUGGACGAAAGUCUGACGGAGCGACGCCGCCGUGGAUGAAGAAGGCCGGAAGGUUGUAAAAUCCUUUUGAAACUGAAGAAUAAGCGUUGUAGGGAAUGACAGCGUGGUGACAGUAGGUUUUGAAUAAGCAACGGCUAAUUACGUGCCAGCCGCCGC